UCUUUAUCUCAUCAGGCGGGCGUUUUAUCUUCUCACGUCAUGACAAGAACGAGACAAGGAACUUCAUUCUGGACACCCCUGGUUACCAUUCAGCCCUAUUUUCACAAAUACAGCUGGAGGAAGAGGGGAAACUGCCUUGUACGUGGGUCUUCUAGUGAUUCCUCCCCUAACAUUUGGAAAGAACUCAAGAUGGACUUAUUUUGAAUUCUGUUUAAAAAUUAAGGUUAUAUUAAGUGGCCAUUUGCAAAAGAAGAAUGGAUUGGAAGAUGGAAGAAUGAAAUGACUACCUGUAGACUCUAAUCUAACAGUAAGGGUCCU
Molecule: long non-coding RNA, 318 nt
Organism: Ailuropoda melanoleuca (giant panda)
Lineage: Eukaryota; Metazoa; Chordata; Mammalia; Carnivora; Ursidae
Exons: 4
Source: RefSeq, a predicted model, not a curated record